GGGGCGACAGCAAUAUGAAGGUCAGGCUGAAGACCUUACCCGAUUAGCUGAGAGGUGGUGCAUGGCCGUCGUCAGUUCGUACUGUGAAGCAUCCUGUUAAGUCAGGCAACGAGCGAGACCCACGUCCACAGUUGCCAGCAUACCCUCCGGGGUGAUGGGUACACUGUGGAGACCGCCGCUGCUAAAGCGGAGGAAGGAGUGGGCAACGGUAGGUCAGUAUGCCCCGAAUCUCCCGGGCUACACGCGGGCUACAAUGGUUGGUACAAUGGGCAUCUACCCCGAAAGGGGAAGGAAAUCUCUUAAAGCCAAUCGUAGUUCGGAUUGAGGGCUGCAACUCGCCCUCAUGAAGCUGGAAUCCGUAGUAAUCGCGUUUCAACAGAACGCGGUGAAUACGUCCCUGCUCCUU
Molecule: ribosomal RNA, 406 nt
Filed under: uncultured Methanosaeta sp.
Lineage: Archaea; Methanobacteriati; Methanobacteriota; Methanomicrobia; Methanotrichales; Methanotrichaceae
Description: bacterial SSU rRNA
Rfam family: Archaeal small subunit ribosomal RNA
Source: RNAcentral